ACGUGGACAUUUAUGAAGUAAUUUUGUGUAGCAGUCUACUUUUAAAAACCAUCCAGAGAAUGGCCACCGGUGAUGUUCCUGUCUUCAGUAACCAACAAACGAAACAGCUAGGUGCUUGUGUCUACCCCUGGAUUAACAUGAGACCCAGAGACUUUGGACCCAGCAAUUGUAAGUCUCAAAGCCUGAACCUCUGGUUUCUAUCAUACGACUACACAGCCAAUACAUUACAAAUGAGCUGACCACACGUGGGGUGUUAAUUGGAGCUUGGCACCCCCAGGAACAUGACAAAUUAAUUCUCCACCAGUUAGAAAUAAACAAAACCCAAAAGAGCUUUUAUUAA
This is a long non-coding RNA of Suricata suricatta (meerkat), 340 nucleotides long. RefSeq lists it as uncharacterized. NCBI's taxonomy places the organism in Eukaryota, Metazoa, Chordata, Mammalia, Carnivora, Herpestidae. The record is from RefSeq and is a predicted model, not a curated record. The transcript is spliced from 2 exons.